UACGUAGGGGCGAGCGUUGUCCGGAAUGAUUGGGCGUAAAGGGCGCGUAGGCGGCUUAGCAAGUCUGGAGUGAAAGUCCUAUUUUCAAGGUAGGAAUUGCUUUGGAAACUGUUGAGCUUGAGUGCAGGAGAGGUUAUCGGAAUUCCCGGUGUAGCGGUGAAAUGCGUAGAGAUCGGGAGGAAUACCAGUGGCGAAGGCGGGUAACUGGACUGCAACUGACGCUGAGGCGCGAAAGUGUGGGGAGCAAACAGGAUUAGAUACCCUGGUAGUCCCU
This 274-nucleotide ribosomal RNA is filed under the name uncultured prokaryote. RNAcentral's name for it is "partial 16S ribosomal RNA". It matches the Rfam family "Bacterial small subunit ribosomal RNA", at positions 524 to 798 of the family's 1533-position model. The record is from RNAcentral.